This 444-nucleotide long non-coding RNA is filed under the name Arachis ipaensis. Its description in RNAcentral is "long non-coding RNA (AIPA_LNC000946)". The record is from RNAcentral. Lineage: Eukaryota; Viridiplantae; Streptophyta; Magnoliopsida; Fabales; Fabaceae.
UUCUUAGGAUGCAGAUUCUCUCUUUUCUAGCUAAUUACCAAUCUCCAACAGUUCAAUCUAUAGAUAACUUCUGCACCAGUGAAAUGAAAAAAAAAAUGCUAUAUAGAGUGUCAUUCACUAUUUAUUAUUUGGUAAGGAUAAGGUAGUUAAUCAUCGCCAAGAUGGUAGGGCAACAUAUAUACCAACGUCGUUGUCCCUAGUAGCCACUAAGGUUUUGAGUAAUGCUAUGAAUUUGUGAUUAUGAUUUACAUACACAAAUAUCUUAUUACUUGAAGGAAAACGAAGAAGGAAAUGCACCCUUUUUUUUUCCGGAGAGAGAGAGGAGACAGGAGAGAGAGAGAGUAAUCUUCAAGAGGCAGAAUCUUCAAGAUGACAAAAAUAGUAGUAUCGGCCAUACAUUAGGUGCUAACAAAAAUAAUUCUGAAAGAUUAAGCCAAUGAAAAC